AUGAAGAACGUAGCGAAAUGCGAUAAGUAAUGUGAAUUGCAGAAUUCAGUGAAUCAUCGAGUUUUUGAACGCAUAUUGCGCCCUCUGGUAUUCCGGGGGGCAUGCCUGUUCGAGCGUCAUUAAAUAACCCUCAAGCAUAGCUUGGUGUUGGGCUUUUUUACGUCCUUGACUGGGAUGGGCCUAAAAAUUAGUGGCGAUGGCUUUUUUACUUUCAAGCGUAGUAAAUCUCGUCUUGCUAAAGAGGAAAAAGAUUUUUUUUCUGCCAAAAAUUUUAACAUUUAAAGUUGACCUCGGAUCAGGUAGGAUUACCCGCUGAACUUAAGCAUAUCAAUAAGCGGAGGA
This 342-nucleotide unclassified non-coding RNA is filed under the name soil metagenome. RNAcentral describes it as "partial contains 5.8S ribosomal RNA, internal transcribed spacer 2, and large subunit ribosomal RNA". The stretch from base 1 to 119 matches the Rfam family "5.8S ribosomal RNA", at positions 36 to 154 of the family's 154-position model. The record is from RNAcentral.